Molecule: ribosomal RNA, 138 nt
Filed under: uncultured eukaryote
Lineage: Eukaryota
Description: partial 18S ribosomal RNA
Rfam family: Eukaryotic small subunit ribosomal RNA
Source: RNAcentral
UGGUGGGUUGCCUUGUCAGGUUGAUUCCGGUAACGAACGAGACCUCAGUCUGCUAACUAGUCACAUCCGCUUCGGCGGAUGGCAGACUUCUUAGAGGGACUGCUUGCGAUAUGCAAGCGGAAGUAUGAGGCAAUAACA